This 337-nucleotide ribosomal RNA is filed under the name uncultured Bacteroidota bacterium. RNAcentral's name for it is "bacterial SSU rRNA". It matches the Rfam family "Bacterial small subunit ribosomal RNA", at positions 22 to 358 of the family's 1533-position model. The record is from RNAcentral. Lineage: Bacteria; Pseudomonadati; Bacteroidota.
GCUCAGGAUGAACGCUAGCUACAGGCUUAACACAUGCAAGUCGAGGGGUAGCAGGGUAGCAAUACCGCUGACGACCGGCGCACGGGUGAGUAACACGUAUCCAACCUUCCCAUUACUCGGGGAUAGCCUUUCGAAAGAAAGAUUAAUACCCGAUAGUACUUUUUUGAGGCAUCUUAAGAAAGUUAAAGAUUUAUUGGUGAUGGAUGGGGAUGCGUUCCAUUAGAUUGUUGGUGAGGUAACGGCUCACCAAGUCUUCGAUGGAUAGGGGUUCUGAGAGGAAGGUCCCCCACAUUGGUACUGAGACACGGACCAAACUCCUACGGGAGGCAGCAGUGAG